GAAUAUUGGUCAAUGGGCGAGAGCCUGAACCAGCCAUGCCGCGUGCAGGAAGACGGCGUUCUGCGUUGUAAACUGCUUUUCUACAGGAAGAAAAAGCCCUUGCGAGGGAUAUUGCCGGUACUGUAGGAAUAAGCACCGGCUAACUCCGUGCCAGCAGCCGCGGUAAUACGGAGGGUGCAAGCGUUGUCCGGAUUCAUUGGGUUUAAAGGGUGCGUAGGCGGGUUAUUAAGUCAGUGGUGAAAGCCAACAGCUCAACUGUCGAACUGCCAUUGAUACUGGUAACCUUGAAUUCAGUUGAGGUAGGCGGAAUUGAUGGUGUAGCGGUGAAAUGCAUAGAUACCAUCAGGAACACCGAUUGCGAAGGCAGCUUACUGGGCUUGAAUUGACGCUGAGGCACGAAAGCGUGGGGAUCGAACAGGA
RNAcentral lists this ribosomal RNA (420 nucleotides) under uncultured bacterium. Its description in RNAcentral is "bacterial SSU rRNA". It matches the Rfam family "Bacterial small subunit ribosomal RNA", at positions 359 to 777 of the family's 1533-position model. The record is from RNAcentral.